Molecule: non-coding RNA, 133 nt
Organism: Triticum aestivum (bread wheat)
Lineage: Eukaryota; Viridiplantae; Streptophyta; Magnoliopsida; Poales; Poaceae
Source: Rfam
GAUGUACUCCCUCCGUCCGGAAAUACUUGUCAUCAAAAUGGAUAAAAGGGGAUGCAUUUAGACAUAUUUUAGUUCUAGAUACAUCUUUUUAUCUAUUUUGAUGACAAGUAUUUUCGUACAGAGGGAGUAUGAA